This 46-nucleotide non-coding RNA is filed under the name Schistosoma haematobium. The record is from RNAcentral. Lineage: Eukaryota; Metazoa; Platyhelminthes; Trematoda; Strigeidida; Schistosomatidae.
UCACUACUGAGGAGUCCCAUACUAAGACGAAACGGCCGUCCAGUGC